AACGCACAUUGCGCCCCCUGGUAUUCCGGGGGGCACGCCUGUCCGAGCGUCAUUUACUCCCUUCAAGCUCAGCUUGUCAUGGCCUGCAGGUCUUCGUGUCCACUGACGCAAUGGGACCUGGCUGAAAUAUCUAGCGCCCGAACCACGACGACGGUGUCUCUGGGAAUGCAGUACACCUUGUACCGAGUGGCUUGCAUGGGUUGCACGCAUGGUGCCUGUAAUAAGGCCCAACACGAUUGACCUCAGAUCAGGCGGGGAAACCCGCUGAACUUAA
Molecule: unclassified non-coding RNA, 274 nt
Filed under: uncultured Ascomycota
Lineage: Eukaryota; Fungi; Ascomycota
Description: sequence contains 5.8S rRNA gene, ITS2, 28S rRNA gene
Rfam family: 5.8S ribosomal RNA (bases 1-52)
Source: RNAcentral